RNAcentral lists this ribosomal RNA (466 nucleotides) under uncultured bacterium. Its description in RNAcentral is "bacterial SSU rRNA". It matches the Rfam family "Bacterial small subunit ribosomal RNA", at positions 329 to 792 of the family's 1533-position model. The record is from RNAcentral.
UUCCAGACUCCUACGGGAGGCAGCAGUGAGGAAUAUUGGUCAAUGGCCGGAAGGCUGAACCAGCCAAGUCGCGUGAGGGAAUAAGGCCCUAUGGGUCGUAAACCUCUUUUGUCAGGGAGCAAAGGCGUCCACGAGUGGACGAAAGGAGAGUACCUGAAGAAAAAGCAUCGGCUAACUCCGUGCCAGCAGCCGCGGUAAUACGGAGGAUGCGAGCGUUAUCCGGAUUUAUUGGGUUUAAAGGGUGCGUAGGGGGAGUGUCAAGUCAGCGGUAAAUUUGAGGGGCUCAACCUCUUCGAGCCGUUGAAACUGGUUUUCUUGAGUGAGUGAGAAGUAUGCGGAAUGCGUGGUGUAGCGGUGAAAUGCAUAGAUAUCACGCAGAACUCCGAUUGCGAAGGCAGCAUACCGGCGCUCAACUGACGCUCAUGCACGAAAGUGUGGGUAUCGAACAGGAUUAGAUACCCGUGUA